Molecule: long non-coding RNA, 1053 nt
Organism: Octopus bimaculoides (California two-spot octopus)
Lineage: Eukaryota; Metazoa; Mollusca; Cephalopoda; Octopoda; Octopodidae
Source: RefSeq, a predicted model, not a curated record
UAAUAUUUAUUUUUUUUUUCAAAUAGACUUUGAUGUCACAACAGACCUGUUAGAAAUAUUGCUCUCAAUAUCAAGAGUGUUGAUUGUUUUUUUUUAUUUCCUUUUUAUUGUACUAUCAUUCUAACCAGACACUUGGGUACUCUCAUUUUCCAUAUGCUUUCCUCAGAAUUUAACCUGAGUACAUUUAAAUUGAACGAAUAUUCAUAAACAUGAAAGACUGUACAUUGACGAAGUGAAUUACCAACUUCCAGCUAUAGCCAAUAGAGAACAGCAGUAACGUAGCUAACAAGGAGCAAGGGAAGGGACUGCUGCCGCCGAGCACUUUUUUCAAAAUUGGCACUUUUUCAGCAACUGAGAAAGGAGUUAAAAUUGUUUGAUGUUCUAUAUCCAGAACCACAUGAGCAAAUAUGUUCUUUUCUUUUUAAAAGAAGGCCGAGGUGUAAUUUGAAGAAGAUAAGGCUGUUAUUCUUAGAACGUCAAGCUGCUACGUAAGGGAUCGCUUUACGGCUCGUUAUUUUCUAUAUGUAGUGGAUUCUACGUCGGUAUCGACAAUGAGCUUUCAACUGUUCCAGCAACAAUAUUUCUACUCCCGAAAUUGACGUCAUCGCCAAAACUGAUGAGGUCAGGGAGAAUAAACUGUGUCUCACUGGUGGUUACAGCAUGUAAAAGAACAUUAAGAUCUUCCUUCAGACGGAGACGUCAGACUAUUUUCAACAGAACAGUUUAGUGUAUCUGAAUAAUAAAUCGCAAUGGAUUAUGUCUGCCACAAGCAAAAAGGUGAAGUCCAUCCAACGAGCUUCCAAACAAUUUUCAACUAUCAAAUUCAUUCACAAGAAUUGGGUCAACACAAGGCAAUGCAUGAAAACACUUUCCCAUGGUUCAAAGUAAUAAGAUCGAACACAAACCCAUGUGAUUAAAACUCAAUUCCUAACUACUCGGCCAUCCACACGACGAGUGGUUUUAUUCAGAUAUGCAGUGUUAAGUUAUUAUAUUCUACACCCUAAAUAGUUUAUUCAAUGUCUACCCUGUAUAAAAUGGCUGUAUAUACUUUUA